RNAcentral lists this transfer RNA (21 nucleotides) under Pfeiffera asuntapatensis. RNAcentral describes it as "partial transfer RNA-Gly". The record is from RNAcentral. RNAcentral also lists the same sequence under 1 other name. Lineage: Eukaryota; Viridiplantae; Streptophyta; Magnoliopsida; Caryophyllales; Cactaceae.
GCGGGUAUAGUUUAGUGGUAA